AUGUGUCCCGGCCGGCGCUGCUGGGGCCUCGGCUCCCUCCUGCUGCUGCUGCUGCUGCUCGGGCGAAACCUGGGCUUCCUCGUGGAAAUCCCGCAGGAUGCAGUCACUGGCACCGUGGGGCAGUCCGUGCUCCUGCCCGUCUCCUACAGAUGCAACAGCACCUCUUGCUUCCCGGUGGCAAUUAAUUGGAUGUUUGGUCACACCUCACAAAGAACCAUCUCCUGCACCGUGCACAACUGCUCCCUGGAUGAUGGGGGGGCUCCCAAGAACUGCUCCACAAACUGUUUCCCCCAUCCUGCACAUUGGGGCCGUGUUGAGCUCUUCCCCGAGAACGCAUCCCUGCUGCUGUGGGACCUGCGGCUCAGUGACAACGGGGUGUACACCGUCAGCUUUCAACAGCACCAAAGACAAAUCAGGAACAUCACCCUGACCGUGCUCCAGCAGCCUGUCACCCCAGACCAUUCCAGUGAAGGGCGAAACCUGGGCUUCCUCCUGGAAAUCCCGCAGGAUGCAGUCACUGGCACCGUGGGGCAGUCCGUGCUCCUGCCCGUCUCCUACAGAUGCAACAGCACCUCUUGUUUCCCGGUGGCAAUUCAGUGGCUGUUUAGUCACCCCUUAGAAAUAAUCAUUGCCUGCUCAGUGCAGAACUGCUCCCUGGGUGAUGGGGGGGCUCCCAAGAAUUGCUCCACAAACUGUUACUCCUAUCGUACACACUGGGGCCGUGUUGAGCUCUUCCCCGAGAACGCAUCCCUGCUGCUGCGGGACCUGCGGCUCAGUGACAGCGGGGUGUACACCGUCAGCUUCUUACGGAAAAGACAAAUCAGGAAGAUCACCCUGACCGUGCUCGAGCAGCCUGUCCCCACAGAUCCUACCAGCAAAGGCACUUCUCAACCAGCAGGAAGAAUAGCCACACGCAUCCCUUGCUGCAUCCUCGGAGGCUGCUACUGCUUCAUCCUGCUGCUCCUGCAGCUGCUCUUCCACCUGUGCUGGCUGCGGGGCAGCCCUGGGGAAGCCUGCGGCUGCUGCUGGGGAGAAGGGAGCCAGCGUGCGGGAGCAGCCAGGGGAAAAAGGAAAUAAUUCAUCUAUAAAUGGUGCCAGCUUUCUGCACAGCCGCUGUUCUUACAUCCUUAAAAUAGUUGCAUACGCCAUAAAACAAAAUAUCUUUCCCAUUUUCCUGUCAAAAACCACAACAGUUUAUUGCCCAAACUUUGGAGGCUACCAGAGAAAAACAGCCAAAUCUGGCUGAUUGUGGCAGCAGCGUGGGGAAGAAGCAGGAGGAGUUAGGAAUCCGUGUUUUGUCAGGAGAUUAUGACCUGGUGUCCAUUCCACAGACAUGGUGGGACAGCUCACAGGGCUGGGCUGUGGCCGAGGACUGGUGUGUCCUGCUGAGGAAAGGCAGGCCAGCAAGGCGAGGUGGAGGAGUUGCUCUGUAUGUGAGAGAGCCACUACGUUGUAUUGAGUUCUGCCCAGGGGAGGAUUAGGAGAGAGCUGAGAGUCUGUGGGAGAGAAUUGAGGGGCAGGCUGGUGUGGGGAAUAGUGUUGUGGGUGUCUGUUACAGGUCACCAGACCAGGAUAAGGCAGCUGACGAGGCCUCCUACUGACAGCAGCCUCACGAUCACAGGCCCUGCUUAUCGUGGGGGAAUUCAGCUACCCUGACAUUUACUGGAAGGCCUCAGCCAGACACCCACAGUCCCGGAGGUUCCUCCUGUUACAAAUGAGAUCUCAACCCAAUCUGAAUUUAGUAAUAGUUAUAAAAGGCAAGUAAACUGCGCUGAGUGCGCGGGCAGUGUAUGCUCUACCAGCACGUACACACUAACAUCGAACUUUCUAAAUAUACAAAACACUUCUUUUACGUAUUAAACCCGAGUGCGUCUAUAGAUAUGAAUCAUAAACAUGUCAAAGUUUUAAAAAGCAAGUGUUUCACAAAGAAUCCUUGAAGGCAAUCGCUAUUAAUG
This 1955-nucleotide long non-coding RNA is filed under the name Anas zonorhyncha (Eastern spot-billed duck). Its description in RNAcentral is "lncRNA (ENSAZOG00000013069.1)". The record is from RNAcentral. Lineage: Eukaryota; Metazoa; Chordata; Aves; Anseriformes; Anatidae.